UUAAAUACCACUCACUGAUGAUUUUGUGAUAUCAGGAGGCCUGAUUUCGUCAAUACCAGAAGAUAAAGCAGUGGCCAUCUUAUCUGCGGCUGCAGUCGAUCUGUGGAAUGUUGUACGGCUCAAGUCCGACGUAGCGACAUUCCUCCGUCGUGCGCCCCAGACUUAGAGUUCGACACGCGAAGUACGAAUAGCCGUGAACCGUUUCUCGUCGACACAUCACCAUGACAUCACCAUGAUGAUGUCAUGUGAAGACUUAUCUUACCUGCAACAAUGAAAUCGUUGAAUCUGUCAUC
Molecule: long non-coding RNA, 293 nt
Filed under: Helianthus annuus (common sunflower)
Lineage: Eukaryota; Viridiplantae; Streptophyta; Magnoliopsida; Asterales; Asteraceae
Description: sRNA HanXRQr2_Chr11g0504841
Source: RNAcentral